The sequence is a non-coding RNA, 206 nucleotides long. It matches the Rfam family "T-box leader". Rfam says of the family: Uncharged tRNA acts as the effector for transcription antitermination of genes in the T-box leader family. T-boxes are found upstream of many aminoacyl-tRNA synthetase genes and some amino acid biosynthetic genes usually in Gram-positive bacteria. The anticodon of a specific tRNA base pairs to a specifier sequence within the T-box motif, and the NCCA acceptor tail of the tRNA base pairs to a conserved bulge in the T-box antiterminator hairpin.
GUAAAUGCGAUGAAGUGGAGUAGUAAGCAUGAUAAGCUUUCAGAGAGCCGUUGGUUGGUGCAAAACGGUAGCUUCUCCUGCUGAAACUCGCCACGGAGUAGGUAUACCGAAGUUUAGUAGGUAUACACGGUUACCGCCGUUACAGGUUCGAGUGGGCGUAUGCCAACAAGAGUGGUACCGCGGAAGUGAAGUCUUUCGUCUCUUUA